AUACUGGGAACACAACUAUCAACAAUGCAACAUUCUAGGGGUGCUAUUUUAUCAUUCAAGAGCCUUAUACAAUGAUUAUCAUCUGCAAUUUGUAUGGCCUUUCCCAAGCUUCUACCAGAAGUUGAAUCUAUGAGUCAUGUUAAUAGUAACAUUGCAUCUGAAAAGAUUCUUGGUUGGGGCAAGACACUGAAUAAAUUGUAUUGAUUCGAUGGAUGA
This is a long non-coding RNA of Daphnia carinata, 216 nucleotides long. RefSeq lists it as uncharacterized. Lineage: Eukaryota; Metazoa; Arthropoda; Branchiopoda; Diplostraca; Daphniidae. The transcript has 2 exons. The record is from RefSeq and is a predicted model, not a curated record.